CACGUAGUUGGCCGGUGCUUCUUUAGUGGGUACCGUCACUUGCGCUUCGUCCCCACCGAAAGAGGUUUACAACCCGAAGGCCGUCAUCCCUCACGCGGCGUUGCUGGAUCAGGCUUCCGCCCAUUGUCCAAUAUUCCCCACUGCUGCCUCCCGUAGGAGUCUGGGCCGUGUCUCAGUCCCAGUGUGACCGGUCACCCUCUCAGGCCGGCUACCCGUCGAAGCCAUGGUGAGCCAUUACCUCACCAUCAAGCUGAUAGGCCGCGAGCACAUCCCUGGCCGAAAAACUUUCCACCACACCUCAUGCGAAGAAUGGUCAUAUCCGGUAUUAAUCACCGUUUCCGGUGGCUAUCCCAAAGCCAGGGGCAGAUUACUCACGUGUUACUCACCCGUUCGCCGCUCGAGUACCACCGAAGUGGCCUUUCCGCUCGACUUGCAUGUGUUAAGCACGCCGCCAGCGUUCGUCCUGAGCCAGGAUCAAACUCU
Molecule: ribosomal RNA, 483 nt
Filed under: uncultured Nocardioides sp.
Lineage: Bacteria; Bacillati; Actinomycetota; Actinomycetes; Propionibacteriales; Nocardioidaceae
Description: partial 16S ribosomal RNA
Source: RNAcentral